This 1346-nucleotide ribosomal RNA is filed under the name uncultured bacterium. RNAcentral's name for it is "bacterial SSU rRNA". It matches the Rfam family "Bacterial small subunit ribosomal RNA", at positions 28 to 1381 of the family's 1533-position model. The record is from RNAcentral.
GACGGACUUUGGCGGCGUGCUUAACACAUGCAAGUCGAACGGAAAGGCCCUGCUUUUGUGGGGUGCUCGAGUGGCGAACGGGUGAGUAACACGUGAGUAACCUGCCCUUGACUUUGGGAUAACUUCAGGAAACUGGGGCUAAUACCGGAUAGGAGCUCCUGCUGCAUGGUGGGGGUUGGAAAGUUUCGGCGGUUGGGGAUGGACUCGCGGCUUAUCAGCUUGUUGGUGGGGUAGUGGCUUACCAAGGCUUUGACGGGUAGCCGGCCUGAGAGGGUGACCGGCCACAUUGGGACUGAGAUACGGCCCAGACUCCUACGGGAGGCAGCAGUGGGGAAUAUUGCACAAUGGGCGGAAGCCUGAUGCAGCAACGCCGCGUGCGGGAUGACGGCCUUCGGGUUGUAAACCGCUUUCGCCUGUGACGAAGCGUGAGUGACGGUAAUGGGUAAAGAAGCACCGGCUAACUACGUGCCAGCAGCCGCGGUGAUACGUAGGGUGCGAGCGUUGUCCGGAUUUAUUGGGCGUAAAGGGCUCGUAGGUGGUUGAUCGCGUCGGAAGUGUAAUCUUGGGGCUUAACCCUGAGCGUGCUUUCGAUACGGGUUGACUUGAGGAAGGUAGGGGAGAAUGGAAUUCCUGGUGGAGCGGUGGAAUGCGCAGAUAUCAGGAGGAACACCAGUGGCGAAGGCGGUUCUCUGGGCCUUUCCUGACGCUGAGGAGCGAAAGCGUGGGGAGCGAACAGGCUUAGAUACCCUGGUAGUCCACGCUGUAAACGGUGGGUACUAGGUGUGGGGUCCAUUCCACGGGUUCCGUGCCGUAGCUAACGCUUUAAGUACCCCGCCUGGGGAGUACGGCCGCAAGGCUAAAACUCAAAGGAAUUGACGGGGCCCCGCACAAGCGGCGGAGCAUGCGGAUUAAUUCGAUGCAACGCGUAGAACCUUACCUGGGUUUGACAUGGAUCGGGAGCGCUCAGAGAUGGGUGUGCCUCUUUUGGGGUCGGUUCACAGGUGGUGCAUGGCUGUCGUCAGCUCGUGUCGUGAGAUGUUGGGUUAAGUCCCGCAACGAGCGCAACCCUUGUUCACUGUUGCCAGCACGUUAUGGUGGGGACUCAGUGGAGACCGCCGGGGUCAACUCGGAGGAAGGUGGGGAUGACGUCAAGUCAUCAUGCCCCUUAUGUCCAGGGCUUCACGCAUGCUACAAUGGCUGGUACAGAGAGUGGCGAGCCUGUGAGGGUGAGCGAAUCUCGGAAAGCCGGUCUCAGUUCGGAUUGGGGUCUGCAACUCGACCUCAUGAAGUCGGAGUCGCUAGUAAUCGCAGAUCAGCAACGCUGCGGUGAAUACGUUCCCGGGGCU